GAUGAACGCUAGCGGCAGGCUUAACACAUGCAAGUCGAGGGGUAUAUAGUUUUCGGAUUAUAGAGACCGGCAAACGGGUGCGGAACGCGUACGCAAUCUGCCUCUGUCUUGGGGAUAGCCCAUAGAAAUGUGGAUUAAUACCCAAUAGUAUUAUAGAGUGGCAUCACUUAGUAAUUAAAAGAUUUAUUGGACAGAGAUGAGCGUGCGUCCCAUUAGCUAGUUGGUGCGGUAACGGCGUACCAAGGCGACGAUGGGUAGCUGGUGUGAGAGCACGACCAGCCACACGGGCACUGAGACACGGGCCCGACUCCUACGGGAGGCAGCAGUGAGGAAUAUUGGUCAAUGGGCGGAAGCCUGAACCAGCCAUGCCGCGUGAAGGAUGAAGGCGUUCUGCGUUGUAAACUUCUUUAUUUGGGUAAGAAAAUUGUGGUUUCUACUGCAACCGACGGUACCAGAUGAAUAAGCACCGGCUAACUCCGUGCCAGCAGCCGCGGU
Molecule: ribosomal RNA, 495 nt
Filed under: uncultured bacterium
Lineage: Bacteria
Description: bacterial SSU rRNA
Rfam family: Bacterial small subunit ribosomal RNA
Source: RNAcentral